UUUUUGGAGAGUUUGAUCCUGGCUCAGGACGAACGCUGGCGGCGUGCCUAAUACAUGCAAGUCGAGCGG
RNAcentral lists this ribosomal RNA (69 nucleotides) under Pseudobacillus badius. Its description in RNAcentral is "partial 16S ribosomal RNA". It matches the Rfam family "Bacterial small subunit ribosomal RNA", at positions 1 to 69 of the family's 1533-position model. RNAcentral also lists the same sequence under 3 other names. The record is from RNAcentral. Lineage: Bacteria; Bacillati; Bacillota; Bacilli; Caryophanales; Bacillaceae.